CCUGCAUUGUUGGAUUGUGGA
This 21-nucleotide microRNA is filed under the name Physcomitrium patens. RNAcentral's name for it is "ppt-miR2084". The record is from miRBase by way of RNAcentral. Lineage: Eukaryota; Viridiplantae; Streptophyta; Bryopsida; Funariales; Funariaceae.